RNAcentral lists this long non-coding RNA (235 nucleotides) under Elaeis guineensis (African oil palm). RNAcentral describes it as "long non-coding RNA (EGUI_LNC034825)". The record is from RNAcentral. Lineage: Eukaryota; Viridiplantae; Streptophyta; Magnoliopsida; Arecales; Arecaceae.
GCUACAGGUAUUAUGGAUGGUGGUGAUCCAUAAUUUGAUCCGUAAAUUAUGUCUCUCUUGGAUCUCAUUCUGGUCUCUUACCAAGGCGACAUUAUAAUCUAUGUUGUGUUCUUGCAUAUCACUGAGUGCCCUUUUGGCUGCCAUUCUCAAUGCUAAGAAAUACAAAAUGUCUCAUCUUGGCUCACUCCUCAUAAGCACCUUAGGUGGUUGUUCGUGUGAGAGAGCCAACCUUACC